GGAUAUAGCUCAGUUGGUAGAGGGCUUGUAUUGCAUGCACAAGGCCCUGGGUUCAAUCCCCAGCACCA
Molecule: transfer RNA, 68 nt
Filed under: Marmota monax (woodchuck)
Lineage: Eukaryota; Metazoa; Chordata; Mammalia; Rodentia; Sciuridae
Description: tRNA.Ala
Source: RNAcentral